GCACAUUACAACCCAAAAAUUCGGUCACUAUACUGUAUUUUUUAAAUAUAUAUUAUUUUUAUUCCAUAAUAUGUGCGUGUAUACGUGUGUUAAACAUGAAAAACACGUACGUACAUGUAUAAUACGUAACCUUCGAGGUCUCUAAAUGUAUUCAUUAAGCCCUUCAAGACCUUAAUUAAAGUAAUUCAAGGGCUUCAAAUAUAUUUAAAAAAAUUGAACUUCAAGUACUUACUAAUUCAAGUAAUUCAAAAAGGCUAAGAUAUAAAUUAAUUACAUAUAUGAAAUUAAAGAAGUUGGCAACAAAAAUCAAAAGUAAAGAAACUGAUUUUAUAUUUUCAAAAUUCGCUACGUUAGCAGGGUACAGCCGCGCGGCUAUACUAUUUAAAAAAAAUUAAGAAAAUCUAGUAUAGCCGGGCGGCUAUACUAUUUACAUACACAAUAGGGAUCCAGCCAGCACCUAGGCGCCACGUGUCAAACCAUGCGGCCGUACUGUUCUGAACAUUUUUUAAAAAACAAAAAGGGGUUAAAACCGAGUAUAGCCGCGCGGCUAUACUAUUUCAAAAAAAAAAUUUUAAAAAUCUAUUAUAGCCGGGCGGCUGUACUAUUUAUAUACAUAAUAGGGAUCCAGCCAGCACCUAGGCGCGACGUGUCAAACCAUGCGGCCGUACUGUUCUGAACAUUUAUAAAAAAAAAAAAAAAAAAAAAAGGGUUUAAAAGCGAGUAUAGCCGCGCGGCUAUACUAUUUUUUAAAAAAAUUUAAAAAUCUAUUAUAGCCGGGCGGCUGUACUAUUUAUAUACAUAAUAGGGAUCCAGCCAGCACCUAGGCGCCCCGUGUCAAACCAUGCGGCCGUACUGUUCUGAACAUUUUAAAAAAAACAAAAAAAGGGGUUAAAACCGAGUAUAGCCGCGCGGCUAUACUAUUUCAAAAAAAAAAAUUUAAAAAUCUAUUAUAGCCGGGCGACUGUACUAUUUAUAUACAUAAUAGGGAUCCAGCCAGCACCUAGGCGCCACGUGUCAAACCAUGCGGCCGUACUGUUCUGAACAUUUAUAAAAAAAAAAAAAAAAAAAAAAAAGGGUUUAAAAGCGAGUAUAGCCGCGCGGCUAUACUAUUUUUAAAAAAAAUUUAAAAAUCUAUUAUAGCCGGGCGGCUGUACUAUUUAUAUACAUAAUAGGGAUCCAGCCAGCACCUAGGCGCCACGUGUCAAACCUUGCGGCUGUACAGUUCUGAACAUUUUUUUUUUCAAAAAAAAAAAGGGGUUAAAAGCGAGUAUAGCCGCUCGGCUAUACUAUUUUAAAAAAAAUUUAAAAAAUCUAGCCAGCACCUAGGCGCCACGUGUCAAACCAUGCGGCUGUACUGUUUUUAAAAUCUGGAAAAAAAAGGGUUUAAAGCGCGUAUAGCCGUGCGGCUAUACUAUUUUUAUAUUUUAAAAAGGGUCAAUAAUGUUUUUUAAGAAAAAAAAAAGGUUAUUUUUAGUAAUUAAACAAUCUCUUAGCCUGAUUUAAUUACUUGAAUUAUGAAUUAGGUCCUACCUAUUAUUUAUCUAGUGAAUAAUUGAUAUUAAAUAUUUUAAUUAACUUCAUAAAUGAUAUUACUUAAUAUAUAUCUUGCAUUUUUGUUAGAACAAGUGAGCUCUCACAUUCAUUCAUAGUUAGUAAAAUACGGAAGGGAAAAAAAUGCGAAUUAAAUACGUAUGUGUUUGAUUCGGCAAUAUCUUGGCACAUUACAACCCAAAAAUUCGGUCACUAUACUGUAUUUUUUAAAUAUAUAUUAUUUUUAUUCCAUAAUAUGUGCGUGUAUACGUGUGUUAAACAUGAAAAACACGUACGUACAUGUAUAAUACGUAACCUUCGAGGUCUCUAAAUGUAUUCAUUAAGCCCUUCAAGACCUUAAUUAAAGUAAUUCAAGGGCUUCAAAUAUAUUUAAAAAAAUUGAACUUCAAGUACUUACUAAUUCAAGUAAUUCAAAAAGGCUAAGAUAUAAAUUAAUUACAUAUAUGAAAUUAAAGAAGUUGGCAACAAAAAUCAAAAGUAAAGAAACUGAUUUUAUAUUUUCAAAAUUCGCUACGUUAGCAGGGUACAGCCGCGCGGCUAUACUAUUUAAAAAAAAUUAAGAAAAUCUAGUAUAGCCGGGCGGCUAUACUAUUUAUAUACAUAAUAGGGAUCCAGCCAGCACCUAGGCGCCCCGUGUCAAACCAUGCGGCCGUACUGUUCUGAACAUUUUAAAAAAACAAAAAAAAGGGGUUAAAACCGAGUAUAGCCGCGCGGCUAUACUAUUUCAAAAAAAAAAAUUUAAAAAUCUAUUAUAGCCGGGCGGCUGUACUAUUUAUAUACAUAAUAGGGAUCCAGCCAGCACCUAGGCGCCACGUGUCAAACCAGGCGGCCGUACUGUUCUGAACAUUUAAAAAAAAAAAAAAAAAGGGGUGAAAAGCGAGUAUAGCCGCGCGGCUAUACUAUUUCAAAAAAAAAUUUUAAAAAUCUAUUACACCCGGGCGGCUGUACUAUUUAUAUACAUAAUAGGGAUCCAGCCAGCACCUAGGCGCCACGUGUCAAACCAUGCGGCCUUACUGUUCUGAACAUUUAAAAAAAAAAAAAAAAAAAGGGUUUAAAAGCGAGUAUAGCCGCGCGGCUAUACUAUUUUUAAAAAAAAUUUAAAAAUCUAUUAUAGCCGGGCGGCUGUACUAUUUAUAUACAUAAUAGGGAUCCAGCCAGCACCCAGGCGCCACGUGUCAAACCUUGCGGCUGUACAGUUCUGAACAUUUUUUUUUUGAAGCGAGUAUAGCCGCUCGGCUAUACUAUUUUUAAAAAAAUUAAAAAAAUCUAGCCAGCACCUAGGCGCCACGUGUCAAACCAUGCGGCUGUACUGUUUUUAAAAUCUGGAAAAAAAAGGGUUUAAAGCGAGUAUAGCCGUGCGGCUAUACGAUUUUUAUAUUUUAAAAAGGGUCAAUAAUGUUUUUUAAGAAAAAAAAAAGGUUAUUUUUUGUAAUUAAACAAUCUCUUAGCCUGAUUUAAUUACUUGAAUUAUGAAUUAGGUCCUACCUAUUAUUUAUCUAGUGAAUAAUUGAUAUUAAAUAUUUUAAUUAACUUCAUAAAUGAUAUUACUUAAUAUAUAUCUUGCAUUUUUGUUAGAACAAGUGAGCUCUCACAUUCAUUCAUAGUUAGUAAAAUACGGAAGGGAAAAAAAUGCGAAUUAAAUACGUAUGUGUUUGAUUCGGCAAUAUCUUGGCACAUUACAACCCAAAAAUUCGGUCACUAUACUGUAUUUUUUAAAUAUAUAUUAUUUUUAUUCCAUAAUAUGUGCGUGUAUACGUGUGUUAAACAUGAAAAACACGUACGUACAUGUAUAAUACGUAACCUUCGAGGUCUCUAAAUGUAUUCAUUAAGCCCUUCAAGACCUUAAUUAAAGUAAUUCAAGGGCUUCAAAUAUAUUUUAAAAAAUUGAACUUCAAGUACUUACUAAUUCAAGUAAUUCAAAAAGGCUAAGAUAUAAAUUAAUUACAUAUAUGAAAUUAAAGAAGUUGGCAACAAAAAUCAAAAGUAAAGAAACUGAUUUUAUAUUUUCAAAAGUCGCUAGGUUAGCAGGGUACAGCCACGCGGGUAUACUAUAGGGAUCCAGCCAGCACCUUGGCGCCACGUGUCAAACCAUGCGGCCGUACUGUUCUGAACAUUUAAAAAAAAAGGGUUAAAAGCGCGUAUAGCCGCGCGGCUAUACUAUUUAAAAAAAAUUAAGAAAAUCUAGUAUAGCCGGGCGGCUGUACUAUUUAUAUACAUAAUAGGGAUCCAGCCAGCACCUAGGCGCCACGUGUCAAACCAGGCGGCCGUACUGUUCUGAACAUUUAAAAAAAAAAAAAAAGGGGUUAAAAGCGAGUAUAGCCGCGCGGCUAUACUAUUUCAAAAAAAAAUUUUAAAAAUCUAUUAUAGCCGGGCGGCUGUACUAUUUAUAUACAUAAUAGGGAUCCAGCCAGCACCUAGGCGCCACGUGUCAAACCAUGCGGCCGUACUGUUCUGAACAUUUUUUUAAAAAAAAAAAAGGGGUUAGAAGCGAGUAUAGCCGCGCGGCUCUACUAUUUAAAAAAAAAUUUAAGAAAAUCUAGUAUUGCCGGGCGGCUAUACUAUUUAUAUACAUAAUAGGGAUCCAGCCAGCACCUUGGCGCCACGUGUCAAACCAUGCGGCCGUACUGUUCUGAACAUUUAAAAAAAAGGGUUAAAAGCGAGUAUAGCCGCGCGGCUGUACUAUUUAAAAAAAAAUUUAAAAAUCUAUUAUAGCCGGGCGGCUGUACUAUUUAUAUACAUAAUAGGGAUCCAGCCAGCACCUAGGCGCCACGUGUCAAACCAUGCGGCCGUACUGUUCUGAACAUUUAAAAAAAAAAAAAGGGGGUUAAAAGCGAGUAUGGCCGCGCGGCUAUACUAUUUUUUAAAAAAAUUUAAAAACCUAUUAUAGCCGGGCGGCUGUACUAUUUAUAUGCAUAAUAGGGAUCCAGCCAACACCUAGGCGCCACGUGUCAAACCUUGCGGCUGUACAGUUCUGAACAUUUUUUUUUCAAAAAAUAAAAAGGGUCAAAAGCGAGUAUAGCCGCGCGGCUAUACUAUUGUAAAAAAAAUUAAAAAAAUCUAGCCAGCACCUAGGCGCCACGUGUCAAACCAUGCGGCUGUACUGUUUUUAAAAUCUGAAAAAAAAGGGGUUAAAAGCGAGUAUAGCCGUGCGGCUAAACUAUUUUUAUAUUUUACAAAGGGUCAAUAAUGUUUUUUUUUUAAAAAAGGUUAUUUUUAGUAAUUAAACAGUAUCUUAGCCUGAUUUAAUUACUUGAAUUAUGAAUUAGGUCCUAACUAUUAUUUAUCUAGUGAAUAAUUGAUAUUAAAUAUUUUAAUUAACUUCAUAAAUAAUAUUCCUUAAUAUAUAUCUUGCAUUUUUGUUAGAACAAGUGAGCUCUCACAUUCAUUCAUAGUUAGUAAAAUACGGAAGGGAAAAAAAUGCGAAUUAAAUACGUAUGUGUUUGAUUCGGCAAUAUCUUGGCACACUACAACUUAAAAGUUCGGCCACUAUACUCUAUUUUUUAAAUAUAUAUUAUUUUUAUUCCAUAAUAUGUGCGUGUAUACGUGUGCUAAACAUGAAAAACACGUACGUACAUGUAUAAUUCGUAACCUUCGAGGUCUCUAAAUGUAUUCAUUAAGCCCUUCAAGACCUUAAUUAAAGUAAUUCAAGGGCUUCAAAUAUAUUUAAAAAAAUUGAACAUCAAGUACUUACUAAUUAAAGUAAUUCAAAAAGGCUAAGAUAUAAAUUAAUUACAUAUAUGAGAUUAAAGAAGUUGGCAAAAAAAAUCAAAAGUAAAGAAACUGAUUUUAUAUUUUCAAAAUUCGCUAGGUUAGCAGGGUACAGCCGCGCUGCUAUACUAUUUUAAAAAAAAAUUAAGAAAAUCUAGUAUAGCCGGGCGGCUAUACUAUUUAUAUACAUAAUAGGGAUCCAGCCAGCACCUAGGCGCCACGUGUCAAACCAUGCGGCCGUACUGUUCUGAACAUUUAAAAAAAAAGGGGUUAAAAGCGAGUAUAGCCGCGCGGCUAUACUAUUUUAAAAAAAAAAUUUAAAAAUCUAUUAUAGCCGGGCGGCUGUACUAUUUAUAUACAUAAUAGGGAUCCAGCCAGCACCUAGGCGCCACGUGUCAAACCAUGCGGCCGUACUGUUCUGA
Molecule: long non-coding RNA, 5681 nt
Filed under: Prunus persica (peach)
Lineage: Eukaryota; Viridiplantae; Streptophyta; Magnoliopsida; Rosales; Rosaceae
Description: long non-coding RNA (PPER_LNC004158)
Source: RNAcentral